This 1478-nucleotide long non-coding RNA is filed under the name Nicotiana tabacum (common tobacco). RNAcentral describes it as "long non-coding RNA (NTAB_LNC019260)". The record is from RNAcentral. Lineage: Eukaryota; Viridiplantae; Streptophyta; Magnoliopsida; Solanales; Solanaceae.
UUUCUUAAUACAUCAUCAUAUACAUGUGACAUACGGGCCUAAUAGGCCAACAUAAUCCUUUAUAAAGUCAAAACAUAGGACGACAAGGCCGUACAAUCUUUUAUGUACACGACACAUGUCUACAAGCCUCUAAGAAUACAUAAAUGCCAUAAAGGUCGGGACAGAGUCCUGCCAUACCAAACAAUACACGUCUAAAUUAUACUAACCAAACAAGCAACUCCAAAGCAAAUGGAGUGCACCAACAUCUUCUGCUGAGCUGAUAGCCUACUUGGAGGGCUCUCGACCUGUCUAGCGGGACCUACGGGCAUGAAACGCAGCGUCCCCAGGCAAAGGGACAUCAAUACGAAUAAUCUACCGAGUAUGUAAGGCACAUAAAUAAAUACAUAAGAGACAUGGAAGACAUAUAAAGUACAUGACUCAACCUGGAAGUCUGAAUAACUUUGUAAAUAAUAAAUUACUUCUAACGUCAUGCAUAUGCGUAUGAAUGACAUGUCAUGCAUAGGUACAUGUUUCAUAACAUCAUCAGCCUCUGAGGGCAUCCCAUCAUAUCAUAUCGGCCACUGUGGACAAAAUCAUCAUUGUAUACUAGCUGAUCAGGUGGUAGUGCAUAUAUAAUGCCAUAACACUUCCCAUAUCCCAUAUACAUAUAUAUAUACACAUAUAUAUAUGCGUAUAUAAUGCCAUUUGAGUACAUACAUAUAUAUGCGUAUAUAAUGUCGUUUGGAUCAUAUUUCAGCCACUGUGGGCAACAUCAUCAUCAUAUACCAGCUGAUCAGAUGGUGGUGCGUAUAUAACGCCGUAACCUUUUUCCAUAUCCCUUAUACAUAUAUUUAUAUAUAUACUCGUAUAUAAUGCCAUAUAGUCAUGGAUCAAUGCACAUGAAUGCAAUGCAUGAAAAGUACGUAAAUAAAAUCAUUCGGAAUAUCAUAAGGCCAUUUUUCCUCUUGAGCAAUAUCAUAAAGUGACAUCUUUUCAACUUUCGUAUUUUUCUAAGACCCCUGAACAAAUGAUAAAAUAUUAUGACACAUGGAAAUUAAAGAACAUAGAUAUUUCUAUUACUUCUAUGAGUAGAGUCACUUAUGAAAUUUGUGCAUUUGCACGUUUCGUUCAUAUCGUAUGGGUCAUGCCAAAAGAAAGAAGAGAUAGCUUUAACAUACCUGUAUUAAAGAAAAAUCUGUAUGAUAUUCUUGAGAAAGGUUGCAUCUUUAAAAUUAGCUUGUGUGAUCACAUCAAAAGAGUUCCAGGCUUCCAGCUUCUACUUUAUACUGAUAUAUUAGCAUCAGAUAAAGAUGCUAACAUUUUCUAUGCUUGACCAACAAAACUUACAAUUCGAAGUUAUAUUACCAGAGUUAGGAACACAUAAUACCAAUCCAAACCAGCAAGAUUUUCAAUAGCUUAAAAUCAAUUUAAAAGACUUUUUCGGGACAUGUAAAACUCAAUUUAAGACUAGCUGAAGGAAGAUAAAAGGCCAACGUUGA